GGCCCCGUCAUCUAGAGGCCCAGGAUACGGCCCUUUCAAGGCUGUUACGCGGGUUCGAAUCCCGCCGGGGUCA
This 73-nucleotide transfer RNA is filed under the name Archangium gephyra. Its description in RNAcentral is "tRNA-Glu". It matches the Rfam family "tRNA". From Rfam's summary of the family: Transfer RNA (tRNA) molecules are approximately 80 nucleotides in length. The record is from RNAcentral. Lineage: Bacteria; Pseudomonadati; Myxococcota; Myxococcia; Myxococcales; Archangiaceae. RNAcentral also lists the same sequence under 1 other name.